This 77-nucleotide transfer RNA is filed under the name Aliiglaciecola aliphaticivorans. RNAcentral's name for it is "tRNA-Arg". It matches the Rfam family "tRNA". Rfam says of the family: Transfer RNA (tRNA) molecules are approximately 80 nucleotides in length. Their secondary structure includes four short double-helical elements and three loops (D, anti-codon, and T loops). Further hydrogen bonds mediate the characteristic L-shaped molecular structure. tRNAs have two regions of fundamental functional importance: the anti-codon, which is responsible for specific mRNA codon recognition, and the 3' end, to which the tRNAs corresponding amino acid is attached (by aminoacyl-tRNA synthetases). tRNAs cope with the degeneracy of the genetic code in two manners: having more than one tRNA (with a specific anti-codon) for a particular amino acid; and 'wobble' base-pairing, i.e. permitting non-standard base-pairing at the 3rd anti-codon position. Lineage: Bacteria; Pseudomonadati; Pseudomonadota; Gammaproteobacteria; Alteromonadales; Alteromonadaceae. The record is from RNAcentral. RNAcentral also lists the same sequence under 3 other names.
GUCUCCUUAGCUCAGCUGGAUAGAGCGACCCCCUCCUAAGGGGUAGGCCAGAGGUUCGAAUCCUCUAGGAGACGCCA